This 1402-nucleotide ribosomal RNA is filed under the name uncultured bacterium. RNAcentral describes it as "bacterial SSU rRNA". It matches the Rfam family "Bacterial small subunit ribosomal RNA". The record is from RNAcentral.
UUUGAUCCUGGCUCAGGACGAACGCUGGCGGCGUGCCUAAUACAUGCAAGUAGAACGCUGAAGAGAGGAGCUUGCUCUUCUUGGAUGAGUUGCGAACGGGUGAGUAACGCGUAGGUAACCUGCCUUGUAGCGGGGGAUAACUAUUGGAAACGAUAGCUAAUACCGCAUAACAAUGGAUGACACAUGUCGUUUAUUUGAAAGGGGCAAUUGCUCCACUACAAGAUGGACCUGCGUUGUAUUAGCUAGUAGGUGAGGUAACGGCUCACCUAGGCGACGAUACAUAGCCGACCUGAGAGGGUGAUCGGCCACACUGGGACUGAGACACGGCCCAGACUCCUACGGGAGGCAGCAGUAGGGAAUCUUCGGCAAUGGGGGCAACCCUGACCGAGCAACGCCGCGUGAGUGAAGAAGGUUUUCGGAUCGUAAAGCUCUGUUGUAAGUCAAGAACGAGUGUGAGAGUGGAAAGUUCACACUGUGACGGUAGCUUACCAGAAAGGGACGGCUAACUACGUGCCAGCAGCCGCGGUAAUACGUAGGUCCCGAGCGUUGUCCGGAUUUAUUGGGCGUAAAGCGAGCGCAGGCGGUUUGAUAAGUCUGAAGUUAAAGGCUGUGGCUCAACCAUAGUUCGCUUUGGAAACUGUCAAACUUGAGUGCAGAAGGGGAGAGUGGAAUUCCAUGUGUAGCGGUGAAAUGCGUAGAUAUAUGGAGGAACACCGGUGGCGAAAGCGGCUCUCUGGUCUGUAACUGACGCUGAGGCUCGAAAGCGUGGGGAGCGAACAGGAUUAGAUACCCUGGUAGUCCACGCCGUAAACGAUGAGUGCUAGGUGUUGGAUCCUUUCCGGGAUUCAGUGCCGCAGCUAACGCAUUAAGCACUCCGCCUGGGGAGUACGACCGCAAGGUUGAAACUCAAAGGAAUUGACGGGGGCCCGCACAAGCGGUGGAGCAUGUGGUUUAAUUCGAAGCAACGCGAAGAACCUUACCAGGUCUUGACAUCCCGAUGCUAUUUCUAGAGAUAGAAAGUUACUUCGGUACAUCGGUGACAGGUGGUGCAUGGUUGUCGUCAGCUCGUGUCGUGAGAUGUUGGGUUAAGUCCCGCAACGAGCGCAACCCCUAUUGUUAGUUGCCAUCAUUCAGUUGGGCACUCUAGCGAGACUGCCGGUAAUAAACCGGAGGAAGGUGGGGAUGACGUCAAAUCAUCAUGCCCCUUAUGACCUGGGCUACACACGUGCUACAAUGGUUGGUACAACGAGUUGCGAGUCGGUGACGGCAAGCUAAUCUCUUAAAGCCAAUCUCAGUUCGGAUUGUAGGCUGCAACUCGCCUACAUGAAGUCGGAAUCGCUAGUAAUCGCGGAUCAGCACGCCGCGGUGAAUACGUUCCCGGGCCUUGUACACACCGCCCGUC